Molecule: ribosomal RNA, 253 nt
Filed under: uncultured bacterium
Lineage: Bacteria
Description: partial 16S ribosomal RNA
Rfam family: Bacterial small subunit ribosomal RNA
Source: RNAcentral
GACGUAGGGCGCGAGCGUUGUCCGGAUUUAUUGGGCGUAAAGAGCUCGUAGGCGGCUUGUCGCGUCGAAUGUGAAAACUCGGGGCUCAACCCCGCGCUUGCAUUCGAUACGGGCAGGCUCGAGUUCGGUAGGGGAGACUGGAAUUCCUGGUGUAGCGGUGAAAUGCGCAGAUAUCAGGAGGAACACCAAUGGCGAAGGCAGCUCGCUGGGACGGUACUGACGCUGAGACGCGAAAGCGUGGGGAGCAAACAGG